GACGAACGCUGGCGGCGUGCUUAACACAUGCAAGUCGAACGAUGAAGCCGGAGCUUGCUCUGGUGAAUUAGUGGCGAACGGGUGAGUAACACGUGAGUAACCUGCCCUUGACUCUGGGAUAACUGCGGGAAACUGUAGCUAAUACCGGAUACGACCCUCGGAGGCAUCUCCUGGGGGUGGAAAGAAUUUCGGUCAAGGAUGGACUCGCGGCCUAUCAGCUAGUCGGUGAGGUAAAGGCUCACCAAGGCGACGACGGGUAGCCGGCCUGAGAGGGUGAACGGCCACAAGGUGACAGACACAGGGCCGAGACUCCAAGGGGGGGAAGGAGAGGGGGAUAUUGCUCAAUGGGCGGAAGCCUGAUGCAGCAACGCCGCGUGAGGGAUGACCGCCUUCGGGUUGGAAACCUCUUGCAGCACCGACGAAGCGCAAGUGACGGUGGGUGCAGAAGAAGGACCGGCCAACUACGUGCAAGCCGCCGCAGUAA
RNAcentral lists this ribosomal RNA (484 nucleotides) under uncultured bacterium. RNAcentral's name for it is "partial 16S ribosomal RNA". It matches the Rfam family "Bacterial small subunit ribosomal RNA", at positions 28 to 523 of the family's 1533-position model. The record is from RNAcentral.